AUUGAACGCUGGCGGCAGGCCUAACACAUGCCAGUCGAGCGGAUGAAGGGAGCUUGCUCCUGGAUUCAGCGGCGGACGGGUGAGUAAUGCCUAGGAAUCUGCCUGGUAGUGGGGGAUAACGUCCGGAAACGGGCGCUAAUACCGCAUACGUCCUGAGGGAGAAAGUGGGGGAUCUUCGGACCUCACGCUAUCAGAUGAGCCUAGGUCGGAUUAGCUAGUUGGUGGGGUAAAGGCCUACCAAGGCGACGAUCCGUAACUGGUCUGAGAGGAUGAUCAGUCACACUGGAACUGAGACACGGUCCAGACUCCUACGGGAGGCAGCAGUGGGGAAUAUUGGACAAUGGGCGAAAGCCUGAUCCAGCCAUGCCGCGUGUGAAGAAGGUCUUCGGAUUGUAAAGCACUUUAAGUUGGGAGGAAGGGCAGUAAGUUAAUACCUUGCUGUUUUGACGUUACCAACAGAAUAAGCACCGGCUAACUUCGUG
This 482-nucleotide ribosomal RNA is filed under the name uncultured bacterium. RNAcentral describes it as "partial 16S ribosomal RNA". It matches the Rfam family "Bacterial small subunit ribosomal RNA", at positions 30 to 507 of the family's 1533-position model. The record is from RNAcentral.